Molecule: long non-coding RNA, 1895 nt
Filed under: Medicago truncatula (barrel medic)
Lineage: Eukaryota; Viridiplantae; Streptophyta; Magnoliopsida; Fabales; Fabaceae
Description: long non-coding RNA (MTRU_LNC007678)
Source: RNAcentral
GGGCCUAAGUGUGUAUGCUUCAUAUUGCAAUUCUCACAGCUGGAUCAUCAACGCGUGACUUUUUAUCAAUUAUUUUUUUUUAUCACUGUUUACAUAUAAAAAUAACUUUCAUAUAAGUGAAAUUUGAUAAGUAAGAGAUUACAACAAUCGAGCGAGGGAGCUUCUCAGUCGAGUGAAGGAUAGGUGAUGUCAAAACAAUCAAGGGAAGGAAGUUGAUUCUUUCCCAAGGCUACUAACUCUGAACGUGGGUUGUUAGAUACUCAAAACUGAGUCAAAGACGCGGUCAGAUUGGAUCAUGACGCAUCACCCACAAUUUGUUGCUCUCAACGCCAACAAUGUUUCGUGAAAUUAGGGUGUGGAUACCAUCUAUAGUGGGGGUUGCACAUAAGGAGCUAGUGUCAACAAAUCACGUCGAGGAGAAGACAACAAAGCCGAAUGUAGGACGCCAUGAUCACACUAACAAGGGAGUUAUCACACACACCUGCGAAAAUUAUCCUAAUAUGGGUUACACACUGCAGGCCAAGUCGUUUGGCUAAUAGACUGUACACUCACCAUAAAUAUUAUUUUCAUACAUUGUAAUUAAAAUAUCAAAUAUAUCAAUCAAACAAACUUAUUUUCGUAAUUUACCCCUUUAUACAUAUGCUUUUAUUUAAUCUAUUUUCUUGCCAAUAUGAUUUCAAUAUCCCGUUUUUCACAAGUAACCAAUCUAAAUCAUGAAUUCACCACCUCACCACCUAAUACAUGUCUGCUAGUCUUCUCAUUCAGAUAAGCUCCUUCAAUUCGUAAACCCUUGCUUUUUUCAAAUGCCUGGUCAGAAUGUUUGCAAGUUGUAUCUCAUUCCGACAUGCGAUAUUCAAGCUCCAUCGUAAUAUGUUGCCCAUAUUUCUUCUCGUGUUCCCAAUGUGUUUCCCUUUGUGCAUUAGUGGCAUUCAUUUUGAUGAAAAUGAUCGAACAACAACAACACUUCCAGCUUCAUAACUUUCCAAAGGGACUUAAAGAAUUCAAAGUUCAAGUCAUUCGGAGUCGGACUCUUGAUAUCUUUAGAAUUAUGAAGCACGUCUAAAACUUCUUUCUUCAAAAAACAUUUUGUAAGAUCUAGAUUUCGGUCCCAUUCAACGGAAGGGAAUCCACUGCAUAUAAUUUUGUCAUUGUUUCAACUGACAUCAUAGGAUAGUUUAGAGAGAGGCUUAAAGACUUCAUCUUAUAAAUGAAGGAUGAUGAAGUCAAGAACCCGAUUGAGUGCCUUCAAUAAAGAAUCCCACUUGUUAUAGUAUAGUAUUAUAUUAAUGUAUAGAUUUUGUUAUAAAGGCCUUAAAGACUUUCGGUCCCAAGGCUCUAACAAGUUAUACAGAAUGAAGUGGAAGUAAUAGAAACCAACGUUCAUAACUCUAAAUAAAAACUACGAAACAGCUCAAACAUGAUCAAAUAACAUUUUUCUAGGAGAAUGGCUAAACUCUUCAUGAUCACAUGCAGGAACCACAAACAUGAUGGAAACUAACUGCUAGCAACUGUUAAAAUGUACGAAAGGUUCCACUGUCGUUUGCAGGCAGAUAUAAGAAGAAGAAAAAAAGACAAAAAACAAGAAUUUUCUUUGUAUAUUCGAAGUUGUUCUUUUCCCAUGAUAAGUGUUGCAUAAAAAUAUUUUAUAUUGGAUUUAUAACAUAUUUUAAUGUUUUAAAUAGGAUGGUGAGAAAUAAGGAUAUUCGUAAGAGGAGGUAAGAAGACGACAUUUCAGAAAAUAAACAUGAGACAUGGAUAAUAUUGUUUUAACAUGCCACUUUGUUCAAAAAAAAAUAAAAUAAAAUAAACGGUCUAAAAUGAAAGUCACAACAAUUCACUUCCUCACAUACAAUAGAAAUAAAAAGAGAACAUCAACGCUUCAUCUGUAAUAACCC